GAUGAACGCUGGCGGCGUGCUUAAUACAUGCAAGUCGAGCGAACAGACGAGGAGCUUGCUCCUCUGACGUUAGCGGCGGACGGGUGAGUAACACGUGGAUAACCUACCUAUAAGACUGGGAUAACUUCGGGAAACCGGAGCUAAUACCGGAUAAUAUAUUGAACCGCAUGGUUCAAUAGUGAAAGACGGUUUUGCUAUCACUUAUAGAUGGAUCCGCGCCGCAUUAGCUAGUUGGUAAGGUAACGGCUUACCAAGGCAACGAUGCGUAGCCGACCUGAGAGGGUGAUCGGCCACACUGGAACUGAGACACGGUCCAGACUCCUACGGGAGGAAGCAGUAGGGAAUCUUCCGCAAUGGGCGAAAGCCUGACGGAGCAACGCCGCGUGAGUGAUGAAGGUCUUCGGAUCGUAAAACUCUGUUAUUAGGGAAGAACAAAUGUGUAAGUAACUAUGCACGUCUUGACGGUACCUAAUCAGAAAGCCACGGCUAACUACGUG
Molecule: ribosomal RNA, 497 nt
Filed under: uncultured bacterium
Lineage: Bacteria
Description: partial 16S ribosomal RNA
Rfam family: Bacterial small subunit ribosomal RNA
Source: RNAcentral